Molecule: ribosomal RNA, 649 nt
Filed under: uncultured Alphaproteobacteria bacterium
Lineage: Bacteria; Pseudomonadati; Pseudomonadota; Alphaproteobacteria
Description: bacterial SSU rRNA
Rfam family: Bacterial small subunit ribosomal RNA
Source: RNAcentral
UGCAAGUCGAACGAGAUCUUCGGAUCUAGUGGCGCACGGGUGCGUAACGCGUGGGAAUCUGCCCUUGGGUUCGGAAUAACAUCUGGAAACGGAUGCUAAUACCGGAUGAUGACGUAAGUCCAAAGAUUUAUCGCCCAAGGAUGAGCCCGCGUAGGAUUAGCUAGUUGGUGAGGUAAAGGCUCACCAAGGCUACGAUCCUUAGCUGGUCUGAGAGGAUGAUCAGCCACACUGGGACUGAGACACGGCCCAGACUCCUACGGGAGGCAGCAGUAGGGAAUAUUGGACAAUGGGGGCAACCCUGAUCCAGCAAUGCCGCGUGAGUGAUGAAGGCCUUAGGGUUGUAAAGCUCUUUUACCCGAGAUGAUAAUGACAGUAUCGGGAGAAUAAGCUCCGGCUAACUCCGUGCCAGCAGCCGCGGUAAUACGGAGGGAGCUAGCGUUGUUCGGAAUUGCUGGGCGUAAAGCGCACGUAGGCGGUUAUUUAAGUCAGAGGUGAAAGCCCGGGGCUCAACCCCGGAACUGCCUUUGAGACUGGAUAACUUGAAUCCAGGAGAGGUGAGUGGAAUUCCGAGUGUAGAGGUGAAAUUCGUAGAUAUUCGGAAGAACACCAGUGGCGAAGGCGGCUCACUGGACUGGUAUUGACGCUGAGG